GUUAAAGACUCACGGAAGACAGCAGACGGGGAAGUCCGCAAAAUGGCAUUUUAAUAGCAAAGCAGAUUAGCUAUUCCUGCAAAGCAAUAUGCGAUGAUUGAUGCCAUCAAGGGAAUUACGCAAACUAAUGCGAAGCAGUCAAUUCUCUGGGUAGAAAUUGACCUGACGCUGCCCCCGUGUUCAAAAUGGAAGAAUACGAUUUUUACAGCCGAGGACCCCGAAGACUCACGGCUGAUCAGCCUCCUAAUCGUCAAAGGGAGGAGUUUCGGCAGCGUGUGUAAUUAAAGCUGUUAAUGUAAUCGCUUGUGAAAUAAACUCUGAUUUAGUCAUGA
Paramormyrops kingsleyae is the source of this 332-nucleotide long non-coding RNA. RefSeq lists it as uncharacterized. The record is from RefSeq and is a predicted model, not a curated record. NCBI's taxonomy places the organism in Eukaryota, Metazoa, Chordata, Actinopteri, Osteoglossiformes, Mormyridae.